CUCAAGGAUUUGUAGUUUGGAUGCACGCGAUGUUUCAUUUUGUGCCUUUGAUAUGCAUUUUGUCUGCUUGCAUGCGUGUUGUGGAUUCGGUGGCAUUUGAAGGCGAAUUAAAUCUAUUUUCCUCUAGAUAGGAGAGAUGUUAUUUAAUUCAUUUAGUCUCAUUUGAAUUCUCAUUUAACACAGCUUGUAGAGUAUGUGCCCUUAGUUGAAGUCUAGGGUUCAUGUUCUAGCUCAUAAGCAAACUUCCCUGUUCGCUACAAGUUCUAUGUUAUUGCUUGUAGACAAGUUAACGUGUUUGUUAAAAGUCUCUUCAUGCCCAUAGGCGAAUUGUUGUGUUCAUUGCAAAUCUCCCACUCUUGUAUGUAGGAAAGUUGCUCUUUUCGUUAGAAUUUCCCUAUUCUUUCCCAUCAGCGAACUAUUGUAUUUAUUACAAGUUCCCAAUUCGUGCCCAUGGGAAAACUGCUAUGCAGUAAGCACAUUAUAGGUUCCAUUCUCUUGCUCGUAUGCAAGCCAUGUAUUCAUUACAAGUCCCCUAAUUUUAUUCAUAGGUAAGCAAACGGUUUUAUUAAAGUCCCUUAUUUAUUUUUAAUGUUAUUCAUUCAAAACAAGUGUUGCACCUUAGUGUUUUUGUUUUUGUCGUUAACGUGCAUUCAAAGUUGUGUUUUCGUUGCAUUUAUAGUUGUGCAGGUUAUUUUAAUAGUUCUCUAUUUAAAUAAUGUUCAGGUGAAAUUUUAGUAGCCUCCUGACAUCUCACUCUUUUAGGAAAAUUUUGGGGAGUGCUAAGGCCUGCUCAUCAUACUUAUACAGAAGCAGGAUGGUUGGUAUUAAGUGACACCGUGAUACGGAAUCUUCUACUCACCGCACUUAAAAAAGCACGCAUAGACCUUUAAUACCUACAUGAGAAGAAGAGGAUUUCUCCUCCAUGCUGGAACUAUGCAAGUAGUUACUUCGGUUUAAAGGUUUCCUCACCACGCUGGAAGUAUGCUAACGGGUACUUAGAUUAUAUGUUUCUCCCCACGCUGGAACAAUAUGAACAAGUACUUACAAUUGGCUUGUUUCCCCGUUGUAUUAGAACAAUACAAACAGGUACUUAUUAUGGAAUUUUCCAAAUUAUACUUGCGUGCAAGGUAGUGACGACGACGUCGAGAUGCCAAUUUUGGGGUAGAUGGGCUGCUGCUGCGUAAAAACAAUAUAAAAGGGAAAAAUUGAGUGUGUUAGUAAGUUAGAUUAGAUAUAAUUUUUUUUUGUUGACUCACUGACAGCUAAUUGGGAUAGCAUUGAAUUCAUAAGGAUGUGGCAAGCAGGAUAAAGGAGAUUUGAUUAGUGAUAGAAUUAUAUAUAUGUAUAUAUAUAUAUAUAAAUUAAAAAUAAUUAAUAACUCCAAAUUUAAUUAGCAUAUUAUAAAAAGAAAUUGUGAAUUGACUCUUGCAUAUUUUUUAAAUUUCCGUUCAUCUUAAUUUACAUGACUAGCCUCUCACAUUGGCGAAUUUUGAAUUCUUGCUCAUGCCACAACCCAAUCAAUAUUGCAAUCCUUCCUAAUUAUUUUCUAUGAUUCGGAUGCAAUGACAAAGUUCGUUUAAAUAACAAGCAACGUCCUGGUGACUUUGCACAUCUUCGCUCCCAUAGACCAUUGUUUUCAAUCGUCUUCACUGGAAUUGAUCAGGAGAGGUCCUCUUAGGUAAUUUUGAUUUUUUAGUGCAAUGAUGUUGUCUGUUUCAUGAUUGGAGGUUGUUUGGGAAGUAUUGAGCUUCGUAGUAUCUACCCGCCAUCACUUUCAUCACUUGAAUGUCUUAUAUGUGAGCGGUCCUUUAGUAGAUUUGACAUUUUGGACAUGUCGACAUACUCCUCUUCACAAAUGUAUGAUGUUUGGGUGAUUUCAUGCAACUUCGAGGGAUUUUGAGUUUGAUACACACAACGUUGUGUUAUUCUGUUGCCCUUCUCUUCCGCUUCUCUCAUGCCAAAUUAGCAUACGUGAACUUCAACAGGCUAUACAUAAAAUCAUAGCAUUCAUUUGUUCUAUAGCUUAUCAUAUCUUAACUUAAAUUUUUUGGAUAUAUUAAUACAUCCAUCUUAAGAGCACUGUCUAACCCAACUCACCUUUGGCCGAUAUUUGUCUCAUCGGCUUAGCAAGGCAUAGAUGUCCACUAUUAUCUUAGGUGAAAGGCUGAAACUCACCCUUGGCUUAUAUCACCCCCAUUGGCAUAGCAGGGCAAGAAUUAUUUUUUAGUUGAAAGUAUGACAUAAGUUCAAUUGCAAUUAGUUAGUCAUGAGGCUAGUUUGGGAUUAGGCUGGCAAAGUAUCAGUUACGGGUUGAAUUUGAUGAUUUCAACAGGUUAAUAUUUAGUCUAAGCUGAGAUAGGGUGCAAACUGCUAGUCUGUUAUGAAAUAGUUAAUUAUAAUAGUGCUAAGGACAAUGUGAAAAAGGCCCAAAGUAAAUCCGGAAGCUUUAAGAUGACUAAGAUACAAUUUUUAUGCCAUAUGUUUUGUCUAUAAUCUAUAACCAUUAGGCCUAUCUUUAUAUCUUUACUUAUGAAAGUAAUGUAGUGAGUAAAACUCUUGUAUUGUAAAUCAAAAUAUAAUUUAAUUAGUAAGCAACUCAUAAUAUUUGUAGAAAAUCAUGUUCACGUGAGACAUUUAAAACAUAUAUUAGCUAUUGUUUUUUUAUGAAUAAUUUCUAUAGAAAACCUAUGAACACAUUCACCCUUGAUUAUUUGAUUUUAUUUUGCAUAAUAAUUUUAUCUAUUUGUAUAUUUCUUCUUUUUGUAAUAAUAUUUAUAAAUUACUUAGUUCUUUUUUCAUGAAUUUUCAUGUUGGGAAUUUUUUCAUGCAAUUUAUUGGGGUGCUCUUAGUAUCUCAAUUGCAUGAGGUUGGAGAAAUUUUUAGAACAUAUCAUGUAUGAAAACCAUCUUUUAAUGCUAGCUAUGCAAUCCUAUUUAGUGUUAUUGGUACCCUUUAUUGUACACUUAUAAUAUCCUAAAUAUUUUGCCAGAUGACUAUGGAGCUUGUUGUCCAAUAUUUGGUCUAUCAUGAGGAGUAUGGGCCUCAAUUUAUAAUUGUUUGGAUCUACUCAUCAACAAAGUAAAAAAGGAAAAAAAUUAUAUCCGAACAUUCUGAUGCAAAUUCAUAGUAGUUUUGAGUUCAUUAAGCAACACUUGUCUCCUAUAAAUGGGCUCUUAAAUGCGUAAUCAGAAAAUUGUAAGAAAUAAUGAGACGGUAGAAGAAAAUUUGUUAAUAGAAGACAUGGAUUUAAAAAAUAGAAUUUUAUCAUGUGGCACAUCAUAUAUGAUGAACUAUUUUGAUGUGAAUUUGCAUCAAGAUGUCUUGAUACUAAUUUUUUAAGUAAAAAAGUAAGUGUUGUUGCGUCAUAUGAACUAAAAUUGUGCAUAUGAAGACACUCCAGGCUAUCUAAAAUCUCAAGGAAAUGCUUUGCAAAUUGCAACCUACUACUUAAUGACCAAAAACGUCUCUUAACUGAAUGGAAUGUGACGUGUAUUACAAAGGCCGUUGUACCCAUUACAUUUACCUGAAUACCUUAGCAUUUAAUAACUAUUGCAUUGGUAUUUUCUGGUUGCUAUUGAUCUUUCUGGCUAUACCAAAAUAAUCUGAUAUUUGUGCAAAACUUUUUUUUUUUAUAAUAAAUUUGUAUAGUAACUAUAGUUUAUUUGCAUUGCCGAUAGUUUAAUAUGCUGCAGUAUGGAAAAACAAAUUUACUAAUGCAGAAAUUUUAGGUCCGGAUCUCCUAUCCCAAAUUUGAUUAGAACUAGUUCUAUACAUUAGAUUUAUUUUAAGAUUAGUGCAAUAUCUGAUUAAUCAAUUAACUAUUACUAACAUUAAUCUCAAAAUAAAUUCAACAACUAUAAAAUUUAUCCCAACCAAAUUUUUGCCGAGAUAUCUCUACUCUUUUUUUUUUUUCAGUACUAUCAUCAUGCUACUAUAUUAUAGUUGUUUGCAUAAUAAGUAAAAUUUAAAAUAGUAUAUAAUUUAAAAAAAUUGAUUUGUGCAAAUUUUCCUCAUCAUGGGGGAAAUUGUUGUUUUAUCUUUUCUUUUAGGAGUUAAAAUCUGACAUACUUCUAGACUGUAACUUUUCAUUUGUAAAUUAUAGUUAACUUUUAUUGUACCCACUCUUUCUAUAGUCAAUAUUGAUAUAAAUAGAUUCUUUAACAUAAACAAACAAUUGUCCGUAUGCAUGCGUCAUUCCUAUUUUUCACUUGGAUAUUGUUUUCCCAUCUUUCUUUAUUUAUGAAAUACUACUACCCUUUGCGUAGUACAGUGCACGAUGUUAGUAUCACAUAUUUUAAUAGGAUAAACUGAAAUGUCUUUGAGCCAAAAUAUGAUUUGAAUGGUGUAACAAUCUGGCCUGCAAAAGUUCUUACUGAUAAGUAGUUAUGGACCAGCUUGAGAUCCAUUAAAGGGCCAGCUCAGUUCAGAUAAGUUAAAGCAGUCCUUUAGGGUAAAAGAGUUAACAAUAUCAUCAUGAAUAUUCAAUAUAACUUGGAAAGAAAUUUAUUGACUGAAAAAAUAUUACAAUUUUCUCCUUUUCAGGAUGUGGUUCCAUAGAACCGUCAAAGCGGAUGACUGGUUAUUGUUUGCGAUAGAGAGUCCUUCAGCCUCUGGUGGACGAGGAUUUGUCUCGGGCCGAAUGUUUAACAAACAUGGGGAGCUCAUUGUAUCAGUAACACAAGAAGCUCUGAUUAGGAAAGCAAAAACACAGAGCCAGAUUCCGCAAUCAAAACUUUAGAGCAGUUGAGAUGAUUAUGCAUUAAUUCUGCAUGGCUGGAUGCGAAUUUCUGAGAACCAUGUUGCAAAUAAUCUACAGCUUGCUAGCUCCAGAAUUUCAUUUCUUAACCUAUUUGAUAUUUGAUCGCUUGCAGGGGAAACAAUGGUUAUGGUGAAUUAACGAUUCACUUUCAACAUUGAACUUCUAUUUUCUUAAUUUUUCUGCAAUACAUGUGCGUUUAUAUAUACCCCAAAUAAAUGGGAUACGGGUACAGAGAUGGUGUUGAUGUUGUAAUAUAAGUAUUAAACUGCUGAAGGAAUUAUUAUCACCAUAACAAGUUGUAGGCUGUGUAAUAAAGCCUCUUAUUGCUUACAUGAGGUUUGAUGCCACAUGCUGAGCUAUUCUUGUGAAAUUUCAAGCAACUGGGAAUGUUAAUUUGUUAUAAAUGCAUAUAAUUACAUAAAAUAUUAGAGAAAAA
This is an RNA transcript of Dendrobium catenatum, 5195 nucleotides long. RefSeq lists it as uncharacterized. The record is from RefSeq and is a predicted model, not a curated record. The transcript is spliced from 4 exons. NCBI's taxonomy places the organism in Eukaryota, Viridiplantae, Streptophyta, Magnoliopsida, Asparagales, Orchidaceae.